UAUGACACAAACAGUGAGGGAAGAUGCUCUAAGCACAUUCCUGCUGGAACAGCCAGAUUUUUGUCUCUCCCUCUCACAGCACCAGGAUUUGCUCUAGAGAUAAAUGAAAGCAUGAAAAUAGGGAGAAGGAAAGAAGAUUUUGAUACUAUGGAGAUUGACCACACUCAACAACUGGGGAUUUCCCUUCAAAUCCAGUGAGUUUAUCACAUCACUGAAGGCUGGGAUCCAGUACCAUGCCCUGGGCAGUCAGCAAGGACACAAGAUCACCUUCUGCUCCAGCGCCUGAGUUACAGUCAUGGACCACUGCAGGACAGAUGAGAGAUUUACUACCACUCUAUCCUGUAUUUCAAGCUCUGAGCAGGAUUCAUAGUAAGGUUCAUUCCUGUGGAACCAACUGUUUUAAAAACCAGUCUGAAAAAAAGGGGAUGGAUAAGAUGGUGCCCAUGCUGAGGGCACUCAAUUUCUUCAUACACUGUUGCUGUUACCCUGAUUUAAAUCAGUCACACCACAGGAGAUUGCAUUGCAACUGGAAUGAAAAGUAGCUUUGAUAUACAUAUAUAUAUAUAUAGCCUCACAGUGAACCUUAAACCUUAAGACUUUUUGAAAAUAACCCAGAAACUUAAAUCCAUCUCAGAAAUUCUUCCCAAUUAAAUCUUAUGUGACCUUUCAAAUGUCUGUCUGAUUCUUCAUCUCAAAUUACCAGAAAUUGUUCAUUUAAAUUACUAGUUUCAAAUGCUCAAAUUCUCUCUCUCUCCCCCUUUUUUUUUUUUUUUUUUCAAAUUCACUCCUUUGAAAUUCUUUGACUGGCUAAGGAUAACUUAUUAAAAGACAUAUUACCCCUGAUUCUUUCUUUUCCUCUUUCUUCUUUGCCCUUCAGAUUUUUUUGUCAGAGCUCAAUGGAUGAGCUGGACUGAAAAAAUAAGCAAAUCUUAGAGGUGGGUGAAUAUUUUUUGGAAGCUGUUUCCUGCUUGCCACAGGAGACACAAACAAACUUUUCUCUGUUCUCUGUGGUCAAGGAUUGGACAACCCUUGGGUGUCACAGAGCUGAGGCUCUUGGUGGCAGGCAGCUUUCCAUGUAUUUUGGCAAAUGGUGGGAAAGUUUUUGGAUUAGUGGUGGCUCCCUUUGCAUGCAGUGAGAUUCUCCAUGAUGAACUCCUUGGCCCUGUCCUCACACCUUUCUUUCUCUCCUUUCUCACCACCAUUAGGACAGAGCCCUUCCUCUCUUCUCCCACCUUCCAGAAGCAGGCCAAAAUGGAGGCAGUUUGGUAGCUAGAUUUUGGGGCUGUUUUGGUAGACCCAGCAAUAUUUGCACUAACAGUAGCACUGUCUGUGAGAAGUCCAUCUCGUAAGUGACAGAAUAAUAAAUCCAUAUGUUGUGUUGUGGGAUUUCCCA
RNAcentral lists this long non-coding RNA (1393 nucleotides) under Anas platyrhynchos platyrhynchos (common mallard). RNAcentral describes it as "lncRNA (ENSAPLG00000030917.1)". The record is from RNAcentral. Lineage: Eukaryota; Metazoa; Chordata; Aves; Anseriformes; Anatidae.